Molecule: ribosomal RNA, 448 nt
Filed under: uncultured bacterium
Lineage: Bacteria
Description: bacterial SSU rRNA
Rfam family: Bacterial small subunit ribosomal RNA
Source: RNAcentral
AACGAACGCUGGCGGCAGGCUUAACACAUGCAAGUCGAGCGCGCUCUUCGGAGCGAGCGGCGGACGGGUGAGUAACGCGUGGGAACGUGCCCUUUUCUUCGGAAUAGCCUCGGGAAACUGAGAUUAAUGCCGGAUACGCCCUUUUGGGGAAAGAUUUAUCGGAGAAGGAUCGGCCCGCGUUGGAUUAGGUAGUUGGUGGGGUAAUGGCCUACCAAGCCGACGAUCCAUAGCUGGUUUGAGAGGAUGAUCAGCCACACUGGGACUGAGACACGGCCCAGACUCCUACGGGAGGCAGCAGUGGGGAAUCUUGGACAAUGGGGCAACCCUGAUCCAGCCAUGCCGCGUGAACGACGAAGGCCUUAGGGUUGUAAAGUUCUUUCAGCGAGGAAGAUAAUGACGGUACUCGCAGAAGAAGCCCCGGCUAACUCCGUGCCAGCAGCCGCGGUAA